This 346-nucleotide long non-coding RNA is filed under the name Sus scrofa (pig). RNAcentral's name for it is "lncRNA (ENSSSCG00050073091.1)". The record is from RNAcentral. Lineage: Eukaryota; Metazoa; Chordata; Mammalia; Artiodactyla; Suidae.
GCUAGCAGUUCUCUCAGACGCUUCCUGUCUCUCUUCAGAGAAGGUGUGAGUAGAAGAAAGCAAAGUAGAGCCAUGACCUCCCCACCAGAUGGCUGGCUGAGCUCCCUCUCAUGCCAUUUGUCCUUCUGGACAUUUGUAGACCUGGAAGAUGCAUGCUUAGGGAUGGAGGGAACUCUGCCUCAAACUACAAUCUAUUGUGGGCUCACAAGGAUCCUUGGUCUUGGGUGCAAAAGGAUUCAUGGACAGAAUUCUGGAUUGGAAAAUGGAGGAUGUACAAAGAUUUGGGUCAGAAAAGGUAACAUUUUUGUUUCAAUAAUCUCUAAUUGAAAUGUAUGACAAAUACUGC